RNAcentral lists this microRNA (23 nucleotides) under Bombyx mori (domestic silkworm). Its description in RNAcentral is "bmo-miR-3321". Lineage: Eukaryota; Metazoa; Arthropoda; Insecta; Lepidoptera; Bombycidae. The record is from miRBase by way of RNAcentral.
CAGAAGUCAAGCAUCGCCUUCCA